AGGUGGCUUUUGGGCUGUCGCAGAUGGAUGAGCCUGCGUUGGAUUAGCUAGUUGGUAGGGUAAGGGCCUACCAAGGCUGCGAUCCAUAGCUGAUUUGAGAGGAUGAUCAGCCACAUUGGGACUGAGACACGGCCCAAACUCUUACGGGAGGCAGCAGUGAGGAAUAUUGGACAAUGGGGGCAACCCUGAUCCGGCAAUGCCAUGUGUGUGAAGAAGGCCUUAGGGUUGUAAAGCACUUUAGUUGGGGAAGAAAGCUUUGAGGUUAAUAGCCUUGAGGAAGGACGUUACCCAAAGAAUAAGCACCGGCUAACUCCGUGCCAGCAGCCGCGGUAAUACGGGGGGUGCAAGCGUUAAUCGGAAUUACUGGGCGUAAAGGGUCUGUAGGUGGUUUGUUAAGUCAGAUGUGAAAGCCCAGGGCUCAACCUUGGAACUGCAUUUGAUACUGGCACACUAGAGUACGGUAGAGGAAUGAGGAAUUUCUGGUGUAGCGGUGAAAUGCGUAGAGAUCAGAAGGAACACCAAUGGCGAAGGCAACAUUCUGGACCGAUACUGACACUGAGGGACGAAAGCGUGGGGAUCAAACAGGAUUAGAUACCCUGGUAGUCCAUGCUGUAAACGAUGAGUACUAGCUGUUGGAGUCGGUGUAAAGGCUCUAGUGGCGCAGCUAACGCGAUAAGUACUCCGCCUGGGGACUACGGCCGCAAGGCUAAAACUCAAAGGAAUUGACGGGGAUCCGCACAAGCGGUGGAGCAUGUGGUUUAAUUCGAUGCAACGCGAAGAACCUUACCUGGUCUUGACAUCCUGCGAGCUUUCUAGAAAUAGAUUGGUGCCUUAGGGAACGCAGUGACAGGUGCUGCACGGCUGUCGUCAGCUCGUGUUGUGAAAUGUUGGGUUAAGUCCCGCAACGAGCGCAACCCCUAUUGAUAGUUACCAUCAUUAAGUUGGGUACUCUAUUGAGACUGCCGCUGACAAGGCGGAGGAAGGUGGGGACGACGUCAAGUCAUCAUGGCCCUUACGACCAGGGC
RNAcentral lists this ribosomal RNA (1025 nucleotides) under Francisella-like endosymbiont of Hyalomma marginatum. RNAcentral's name for it is "bacterial SSU rRNA". It matches the Rfam family "Bacterial small subunit ribosomal RNA", at positions 202 to 1214 of the family's 1533-position model. Lineage: Bacteria; Pseudomonadati; Pseudomonadota; Gammaproteobacteria; Thiotrichales; Francisellaceae. The record is from RNAcentral.